Molecule: ribosomal RNA, 253 nt
Filed under: uncultured bacterium
Lineage: Bacteria
Description: partial 16S ribosomal RNA
Rfam family: Bacterial small subunit ribosomal RNA
Source: RNAcentral
UACGGAGGGUGCAAGCGUUAUCCGGAUUCACUGGGCUUAAAGGGUGCGUAGGAGGGCAGGUAAGUCAGUGGUGAAAUCCCCGAGCUUAACUUGGGAACUGCCGUUGAUACUAUCUGUCUUGAAUACCGUGGAGGUGAGCGGAAUAUGUCAUGUAGCGGUGAAAUGCUUAGAUAUGACAUAGAACACCAAUUGCGAAGGCAGCUCGCUACACGAAUAUUGACUCUGAGGCACGAAAGCGUGGGGAUCAAACAGG